AUGGUUAUCCAGAUUGGUGGACAGAUUUUCAAGCUCGGAAGCAUCGAGAUACAAGCACUUCUGAUAGCGAUCCAGGAACAGCUGCUGUAGCUUCUGCAGAACCACAUUUGUCACUCAUUCCAUCAUCAAGCUCCCACCUUACACAAGGUAAUGCUCUAAUUUUCUCUAAUCCUGUCGACGACCGCAAUGCUUGGAUACUUGAUUCCGGUGCUACCGAUCACAUGACAUUUGAUGUGGCUGAUUUUUCCAAACGCUCAACUCCUCGACGCAAAAGUAUUUCCAAUGCUAAUGGUGGCUUAUCGUCGGUAACAGGGGCUGGGACUGUGAUGUUAUCACCCUCUCUUUUACUAUCUAAUACGCUGCUUGUUCCAUCUCUCUCUCAUAAGUUGCUAUCCGUGAGUCAAGUUACAAACGACUUGAAUUGUG
This 426-nucleotide long non-coding RNA is filed under the name Medicago truncatula (barrel medic). Its description in RNAcentral is "lncRNA gene9780". The record is from RNAcentral. Lineage: Eukaryota; Viridiplantae; Streptophyta; Magnoliopsida; Fabales; Fabaceae.